AACAUAUAACAAUGUCACCCAAAAGAUCAUGGAACAAGCAUAAAUUAUAGAUACGUUUGGGACGUAUCACACGUGUAGAUGCUUCCAUGUGAAAACAUGCAUAUUCUUUUGAAUAUCACCAUAUUAUUGUUGGGGAACAUCGCACGGGAAACAAAAAAAUUCUACUCUCACCUAGAACAAUCUAGGGGGACCAACAUCUACAAGAGGGGGAGUGCAUCUACAUACCCUUGUAGAUGCUAAACAGAAUCGUAUAAAACGAGGUUGAUGUAGUCAUACAUCUUCACGAUCCAAUCGUAAUCCAUCCCGAUCUAGCACCGAACGGACGGCACCUCCAUGUUUAGCAUACAUACAGCUUGAUGACGUCUCAUCCUUCUUGAUCCAGCAAGAUAGGAAGGAGAAGUAGAUGGGAAAUCAACCAGCACGACGACUUGGUGGACAUGAUGGUGGAGCAUUGCAAGCAGGGCUUUGCAAAGCACUGCCGGAACCGAACCGAGGAGAGAACGAAGUUAUGGGAGAGGUAGAACUGCCACCGGG
This 534-nucleotide long non-coding RNA is filed under the name Hordeum vulgare. RNAcentral describes it as "long non-coding RNA (HVUL_LNC012460)". The record is from RNAcentral. Lineage: Eukaryota; Viridiplantae; Streptophyta; Magnoliopsida; Poales; Poaceae.